CGGCGGGAAGAGUAAGUGGCGCACGGGUGAGUACGCGUGGGUACCUGCCCCCGAAUNCGGGAUAGCUGCGCGAAAGCGGCGCUAAUACCGGAUAUCGUCCCAGGGGCUUUGGUCUCUGGGAUGACAGAUGACCUCUCCAUGGAAGUUGUCGUUCGGGGAGGGGCUCGCGUACCAUUAGCUUGUUGGUGGGGUAAUGGCCUACCAAGGCGACGAUGGUUAGCUGGUCUGAGAGGAUGAUCAGCCACACUGGCACUGAGAGCACGGGCCAGACUCCUACGGGAGGCAGCAGUGAGGAAUUUUGCGCAAUGGGGGAAACCCUGACGCAGCAACGCCGCGUGAGUGAAGAACGCCUUCGGGUCGUAAAGCUCUGUCAAGUGGGAAAAACGUCAGACGAUGAACAGUCGUCAGGCUUGAUGGUACCACUGGAGGAAGCACCGGCUAACUCCGUGCCAGCAGCCGCGGUAAUACGGAGGGUGCAAGCGUUGUUCGGAAUUACUGGGCGUAAAGAGCGUGUAGGCGGCAAGGUAAGUCAGGCGUGAAAGCCCUGGGCUUAACCCAGGAAGUGCGUUUGAAACUGCCUCGCUAGAGUAUGGGAGAGGAGAGUGGAAUUCCCGGUGUAGAGGUGAA
Molecule: ribosomal RNA, 627 nt
Filed under: uncultured organism
Description: bacterial SSU rRNA
Rfam family: Bacterial small subunit ribosomal RNA
Source: RNAcentral